GACUCGAAAGCGGAGUGGUUCGCGUCUGCUUGAUAUAGCGAUUCAUUAUGAUUAGUCUGCAGAUAUUGUCGGUUCGACUCCGGCUCGAGUAU
This is a non-coding RNA of Mycena metata, 92 nucleotides long. The record is from the annotation of a GenBank genome assembly. NCBI's taxonomy places the organism in Eukaryota, Fungi, Basidiomycota, Agaricomycetes, Agaricales, Mycenaceae.